RNAcentral lists this ribosomal RNA (503 nucleotides) under uncultured bacterium. Its description in RNAcentral is "partial 16S ribosomal RNA". It matches the Rfam family "Bacterial small subunit ribosomal RNA", at positions 29 to 507 of the family's 1533-position model. The record is from RNAcentral.
AACGAACGCUGGCGGCGUGCCUAACACAUGCAAGUCGAACGAGAAAGGGGCUUCGGCUCCGAGUAAAGUGGCGCACGGGUGAGUAACACGUGGGUAACCUGCCUCUAAGAUUGGGAUAACUCGUCGAAAGAUGAGCUAAUACCGAAUAAGACCACAGUUCCCGCGGGAACAGGGGUCAAAGGUAGCCUCUGCUUGCAAGCUAUCACUUAGAGAUGGGCCUGCGCACCAUUAGCUAGUUGGUAGGGUAACGGCCUACCAAGGCAAAGAUGGUUAGCUGGUCUGAGAGGAUGAUCAGCCACACUGGAACUGAGACACGGUCCAGACUCCUACGGGAGGCAGCAGUGGGGAAUAUUGCGCAAUGGGCGAAAGCUUGACGCAGCAACGCCGCGUGAGUGAUGAAGGCCUUCGGGUCGUAAAGCUCUGUCGGGAGGAACGAAUGCUCCUGAGGUUUACAGCCUCGGGAGGUGACGGUACCUUCAAAGGAAGCACCGGCUAACUCUGUG